CUCUACUUUGCUCUUUUUCCUUCAGACCUUUGUGCUGCUUCAACUAUAAAAACAAAGAAUUUUUUAUUUCAACCCUUAUAAAGAUCAUUUUAUCCCAGGUUUUGCUCCUGAAGAGCAAACAUUAACAGCUUUUUGCGAACGUAAAGUUUGCUUUUCCAUGGCACAUGCUCCAUGGCGGUUAAGCCCCCUCCCAGCCAUAUUUUUGUUUGUGUGACCCCCUUGUUUUGUUCUCCCUCCUACCCCUGAAAGGACAGCAUUGUGACUUCUUCGCUUCCUCAACAUUUAAGUGGUAACAAAACGUCUCUGAUAGCACUCUUUAAGAAAAGAGGAACUUUUUGUGGUCUGCUGUACCGGCAUCGUGUGCUCAGCUCUGUGGUUACUGCUGACCUUCAAAGACCCGAUGAGUGUUUAUAACCAAGUUUUUAAGAAAUUAAUAGUUUGAGAUUUAAGUUGAGGCUGACUCAAAGUUUUGACAUCUGACUGCUUGGCAGUGGACACAACCAGACAUCCUGACUCCUUUCCAGGCACAAGGUGAUGUCCAGCCAAAGUCCUCUUCUUCAGGUCAACGGGUCAUCGCCAGCUGUACCCUCACGCUCCGACUAUGACCGGGCCAUGAAGGAUUGUGAAUUCUCAGAGAAAGCUUCUCCCACAUCACGCAGCGGACUCCUCCCUCGGCUCUGACCUAGAGACAAUCCUCCUUCACCCGCUGGAUCUCACUCUGCUGAAGCCUGACCAUAGAAGACCCGGAUUGCACAUUCUAACAAUUGUAUACCAAUAAAUGUUUGUAACCCAUCCCUGGGAUUCUGAGCCUUCUUCUGAGUCCAAACCUGUCAGCCCCAUGACACAAACAUAUACAUACUGCCGAUGCUGCUGAGGAAAGUUGUUGCCAGAAGCGCCAACAUGAGCAGUUUGCCGCGAUGGACAUCAUAGCUGCAGAUAUGCUUUGUAACAAGAAUGUGUGAACUUCAGAUGGACGGCCUCAGCUGGAACGUCACAAGGCGUCCUGAGAGAAAAAGUUCGGUUUCUCAGGCUCAGGAUGCUGUGGGCCAUGAAAGCUCCAUGAAAGUACUUCACGAAUGUCACGGUGUCAUCAAACAGGUCUGGAAUCCAGAAUUUUAAGGUCGGAAAGUUAUGUUGUGUUAAUGGGUUUCAUGUUAAAAGAA
Long non-coding RNA from Melanotaenia boesemani (Boeseman's rainbowfish), 1163 nucleotides. RefSeq lists it as uncharacterized. The record is from RefSeq and is a predicted model, not a curated record. NCBI's taxonomy places the organism in Eukaryota, Metazoa, Chordata, Actinopteri, Atheriniformes, Melanotaeniidae. The transcript is spliced from 4 exons.